CCGCAGCAGAAUGAUGACGUAGGGCAGCGGCCAAAACGUAACGCACGCCUCCCGGACACGUCUCCGCAGACACCCAGCAGGAGAAGACAACAGAAGGAGUCCACACACCACGGGCUUAAGUAAUGUCCCCGCCUCUGGUGGUCCACACCCCUGUGUGCAGGUAAGAGGGAGGGGAGAAACCCUCAUCCGGUCACACAUGCGCCACCGUCGACCGCAACCGUGUUCCUUGGGCAUAGCAUUUAUUGAGGUAGCAGACAGUAGUAAACUGUUAUGCAGUCUGGUCGUGAGGGCCCGACUGCUUCUCAGCUGUCCUCACUAUCCUCUGCAGGGCUACGCGGUCUCAAACGGUGCCAAACCAGGCAGUGAUGCUGCUGCUCAGGAUGCUCUCAUUAGCCCCCCCGAUACAACGUAGUGAGUAUGGGGGGGGGGAGAUGUGCUUUCCUCCGCCUUCGAAGAAAGUAGAGACGCUGCUGGGCUUUCUGGUGUCGAGGGACCAGGUGAGGUGCUCUUGACGAUGUCCAAAGAGGAGCUGUCGAUGCUCAGCAGAAAGUGUUCACCCUGUGCCGUCCUAAAGUCAACAAGCAUCUCUUUUGUUUUGUCCACAUUCAAGGACAGGUUGUUGGCUCUACACCAGUCAGUUAGCCGCCGCACCUCCUCUCCGUAUGCUGACUCAUCGUUCUUGCUGAUGAGACCCACCGCGGUCGUUCCAGCUGUGCAUUGCUGCACAGUGGUGAGUCAGCAGAGUGAACAGUAGUGGACUGAGCACCAGUGGCGAAGGGAACCUUUCCGAGGAAGCCACGCAACCUCUAAACUGUGUAUUUUUUAUGGGGGUGGGGGCAGAAAAUCGCAUGUUGCUAUUUCAUGUAGUUGGGUGAAUUAUUACAGCGCCCAGCAUCAUUUUACCGGGACUCACACACGCUUGUUAUCUAACCGACAUUUCUCUCUCUCUCUCACUCACACUCAGUCAUCUUAAACAUGUCAUUCAUUUAUGCAACCACCCUCCCAAAAGCACAAGCAGCUACUUAAAGCACAGCACGCAUUAGAUAUUGGAAAGAUGUGAAUUCAUUUACACACCCAAUCAGAAGCCAUUAAGUUUACCUCCACGUCAAACACAACUCUUAUGCUCUGAGUGAGCCGCUCACUGCGGACGCAACGUUAAUUCUCUUCAUUGACAGUCAUAGAACUUUCCUUCCUCUCAGUACGGAGCGUUUUGGUGUUGGCCUGCCGUCUGAUUUAAUUCGGAGUUGGGCUGCAAAGGCAGUUUAGUGAAAAUAUUUUUUACUAAAUAAUACAUAUGUCCAGCAUCCAUCACUGCACUUAAUACUUUCACCAGCCUACCAACACAAAUCGUCCAUUAUUUCAUUCAAUGACGUUGAUGACGUGCUGUGAUUUGAUUGGUGUGAAGCCAACGGCUUCCCUUGACGCCGUCCUCAGCAAUCACAGGGGAGCAGCGUCGUCACAACAGCCUCACCUGAUUGAUUCAUCUUUUUUUCCCAUCAAAGAAGAAAAACUCAGCUUGGCUUCCUCACGGACACAAGUGCAACUUGUCUGAAACACAGAGGGCAGAAGCAUGUUUUCAACGCUCAUUCACCACGUAACAUGUAGAGGGCGCUGUUUCACACAUCAUAAAACGAAGAAUGAAGAGAGACGAGGAGGAGACGACAGGGAUUAUGUAAACUGUUAAAACGUUUUUUUAUUAAAUUGCUAAUC
This is a long non-coding RNA of Gasterosteus aculeatus aculeatus (three-spined stickleback), 1710 nucleotides long. NCBI's taxonomy places the organism in Eukaryota, Metazoa, Chordata, Actinopteri, Perciformes, Gasterosteidae. The record is from Ensembl.